Molecule: long non-coding RNA, 8959 nt
Filed under: Sus scrofa (pig)
Lineage: Eukaryota; Metazoa; Chordata; Mammalia; Artiodactyla; Suidae
Description: lncRNA (ENSSSCG00005039395.1)
Source: RNAcentral
AAUUAACUGGGGAAGUUGUUGCUAGUACACAGCCUGCCAACUGCUACAACCAUCGCCAGGCUGGGUCUGAAUGCUCAGCAAAUCCCCCCACAGGGCACUGGCAGCUUGGAGAAUGUUCAUCCCUGUGCAGACUUGCCUGCUGCAGGCAGGUGCUCAGUCUUAGAGCUGAUUAGUGCAAAUCUGAUUCAUUGUAGAAAUGACUGCUUCCUAACUCCCUGGUACAGUCACAAAGUGGAGUCUGGACAUUCUAACCAGGAGCUUUGGGCCUUGAAAGGAGCUUGCUUAGUUUCUGCCAAUGACAACAUGUGCACACACGUUGUGCAUUCCUGUGAGCAAACAGGAGGCUUGGGAUCUGUUUUUGUUGUUGUUGUUGUUUUUCAUUUGGCCACCUCGAGGUAUUUGGAGUUCCUGGGGCAGGAUCAGAGCCGAGCUGCAGUUGUGACCUAUGCUGCAGGUGCGGCAGUGCUGGAUCCUUAACCCACUGUGCAGGGCUGGGGAUCAAACCUUUGUCCCAGCACUUCCAAGAUUGCUGCAGAUCCUGUUGCACCACAGCAGGAACUAAUGGUUGGUUUUUUUGUUUUUGUUUUUGUCACAACCUUGACUCAUGGGGAGAUAGAAGGGCUGGGAUUGUGUGGUGUACAAUUAGAGAUGUCUGUGAUCAGAGAGGCCUUGCGUUUCCCUCUGGAGAAAAGUAAUGACCACAAAGCAUGGGCGGGCAUUUCUUAGUGUGUUCUGGGAGGUCAGAUGUCAGAAAGGAGACCAAGCCUUGUUCAUGGAGUCUCUUGCAGUGGCUAUUGCACUCUCUUGAGCCUUUUUCAGUUGCACUUCCCAUUGUUCCUGCUUGCCAUUUUGAUCAGGAGCUUCCUUAUACAUGUUUUAUGGAGGGGACCACCGAGUUGGGCAGGCCAUCAAACAUUUGUUGAUCCUUUUCAACCCUGUAAUGUCCACACUUGAAAAACUGGAGACGUCCCAAUGAAAAACAGCUGGGUAGUGGUUUGUAAGCUUUGGUCUUUUGUGGUGGGUAGUGGCUGCCAUAUCACAGUUAAAGGUGACAGAUAGAAUCAAUACACAUGUCCCAUCCACACCAGAACACAGUAGGAAGGGAAUAUUGAUUGUAAAUAAUCCUGUGGGCUUACACAUGUGAAAAUAGAUGUUGUGAUUCCCUACUUGUGUAACUUUGUUAUCUUUUAUUGUGAUGACAGCUAAAUGUUUUAAUCAGGAGCGCUCAGUCAACAGGCAAAGUUGAUUUGUUUGUUGCUGCUUGCUCCCUCUAAACCAGAAGUGUUCUGUUUCCAGUAAAGUUGUUUGUCUCUCCAGCACUCGUUGCCUAGGAGUCCCCCUUCCAACCCUAUAGGAGCAAAGAUUUACUAGUCAAGAUUUAACCCAAACUGUAAAAUUGGGCCAAGGUCCUCUAGGAAAUAUUAAGUAUGAAAAAUUAUUCUACACAGUAGCUUUGUUUGAUCAGGGUAAGUUAAUUUUCUCAAAAGAUUAAUGAUAGAGCUCCAUGGUGGGUUAAGAAGGGUUAAGGAUCUGGCGCUGGCGCUGCCAUGGCUUGAGAUGCUUCUGUGGUGUGGAUCCAAUCCCUGGCCCUGGAACUUCUAUAUGCGUGGAUGCAGAAAAAAAAAAAAUACACACACACACACGAACUGUCUUGUACAUUAAACACUCUUAAAGAGCUGAGUAUCAUUUUUCCUCCUCCUCUGAGGUGGAAGUAGCCCCACUUCCCAACUGAUGUGAGUGCAGGAAAUGUGGUUGUACAGCCCACAAAAAUUUUUUAUAACUGCUUUAAGGUUGUUACUCUUGCUACUUUACUGUCUUAAAUGUAAACCACAAGUCAUAGAACCCAUUCUUUAUCUUGAACUUGAGCUUUCCUUUCAGAAAAGCACUUUAUAAACGCUUAGUUGUUCAGCAGUGUUCCAAUAGCUACUCUCCUCUUGCAGCAGUUCCCAGCCUACACAAGGUGGAUGGAUCAUUUCAGAAUGUCUUCCCCAAUACCCCACCCCCCAAAUAGCUGUGAUUGAACAACAUUGGGCACUACACAUAUGGCAGGCACUAUUUGUAAGCCUGCUGAUCAUUGGGACAAUCCUGAGGAUGAGCUUUGUUAACCACUCUUGUUUCACAAAUGAGGAAUCACUAGUCAAAUGAUGAUAUCUGUUGCUAAAAGUCUCCCAGGUUAAUUCUGGAGGUUGGAGUUCAGAUCGGGUUGGUUUUGUUCUUUGCCUGUAGGUCUGUUUCCACCCUCCCUGCCCAGCAGCAGUCUGAAGUAGGUGGACCCCAGACGUGGGUUAUUUGUUUUUACAUGUUCUUAGAUGCCAUGAAAUUCACUCUGACAUAUGUACCACUGCAGUCAUGAUACAGAGUAUUUCCAACACCCUCCCCACAUUCCCUUUGUGCCACUUUGUAGUCAGCCCCUUCUGCUACCUCUACAUCUGUCUAUAUUGGGAGUUCUGCCUGAGGCUAGGGCAUCUAUUGCUGGGGAAUCAGAGUAAACUGCUUCUUAGCUAGGAUUGGCCAUAGCUUGGAUGUCCCAGGCACUAUUCUCCGGUCCCUGUAUCUCAUCCCCUAACCCCACCAGGGGACUGAGUUGGUUACUAUGCCUAUGAAGCAGGUAUAAUUGUGAAAGGAUUGUGUGACUGUGAAAGAAUUCUCUAAGGGGAGGAUUCUUUUUUGAAUGGGGGGAGGGAUGCUAUGCCCGUUCAUGCAUAAAUAUGAUCACCUUCUAAUAAAACAUUGGGUCCUUCUGUGAGAUGGUCACAUGGUCAUAAGUAAGUAAUGUCAGGCCAGAGCCUCAGGCAUUUGGGUGGGCAGCCAUGGUAGCUGAGUGUAUUUGCUCCACAAGUGUCUGCAUCUAUAAAUGUUUGUGAUGACCUGUAAGGGAUGGCUCUGUACCAACGGAAGAGGGCUGUUGCUACAGUGCCUGGGGCAUGACCCAUGAAGGUGACAUGGUGUGUCAGCAGUAACCUAGAUUCUGGAAUCCUAGGAAAUGGCCUCAACUGCCUAGGGAGCUCUCAGUGUGGGACGUCUUUUAUUUCUCUAGGCCUUGGGUAGGAUUGGAUUUUGUAUUUUACUAGAAUGGAUGAUUCUGUGUUCUUUUUAAUAAGCUGGUUUUCUGGUUGUAGAAAAUAGAUUGUUAUGAUUUUUGUUUAGCUUGCAAGUGUUAGGGAAGCUGUAGAGAAGGAAUUAGUAGAUGCAAACUAUUGCAUUUGGGCUACCAUGGCUGCCCACCCAAAUGCCUCUAUAACACAGGGAACUAUAUCUAGUCACUUGUGCUGGAACAUGAUGGAGGAUGAUGUGAGAAAAAGUAUAUAUUAUAUAUAUAUGACUGUGUCACAGUAGAAAAUGACAAAACACUGUAAAUCAACUACAAUGGAAAAAAUAAAAAUCUUUUAAAAAAAAAUAAUGCAAGGGAAGGAGAGCCUGCUGUGGUGCAGUGGAAUCAGAGGUGUCUCAGAAGCAGUGGGGCGCAGGUUUGAUCCUCGGCCUGGCAUAGUGGGUUAAGGAUCUGGCAUUCCUACUGCUGUGGCUCAGAUCUGAUCUCUGGCCUGAGAACUCUGUAUCCUGCAGGAUGGCCAAAAAAGGAGGGAAAAAAUGCAAGGAAAGCAUUUUGCAGUUCUUUUCUUGACAGACAUUAGAGUUAAUCAGUCUCAUACAGACUUAGGCAAGAUUCAAGCAAAAGGAAACCAAAUAUUCCAGCCGUGCUUACAGUAAAUAUUUCCGUUUGUGGGAUUUUACCCAUGUUUGUGUGUUUCUCAGAGCUCACCAAUAAACCACUGCUUAAUAAUAAAGUCUGAUUUGGGUUGUAAGUCUCUGGGCCUGCCCUGUAUCUCAUUGCCUGAAGUGGAUCUUUAUCACAGUUGUUGCCUCCUGCAUAACCUGUAAUCUGGCCACCUGUGUGUGUGGUUGGUUGUGGUUCUCCCAGCUGGGGACAUUGCUUGUUGUAACAGAACUUCCUGUUAUGCUUCGCCUUCACCCUGAAGAUGAGAUUGCAGAAAUGCCGCAGGUGGGGAGUGAGGGCACAUGGCAGGACCCUUUCCUCCUUGCUGCUGGUCCCUUGGGAGCCCAGGGUGUUUGCUUUAUGGGUUGGGCCUUUCCAUGCUACUGUUAACCAUUAUGUCUUCCAUUUCCAAGUUGCUUCCUGCCUCUUUACUACAUCCCCUCUAACCCCCAAGGGCUGGUAUCAGACAAGAGGAAAUGAGGUCUCUCCUAGUUGGAGCUAUUCCCUUUGUCAGAAGUAGGGCAUUUCCCACCAGACCCCAGCCCCUUGCAAAGGUGGAUCCAAAAGUAGAUGAAAUGUCAACAAACUCUGAGAGAAACCUAUUAACUAUGCAAAUAGAAAGUUCCUUGUACUUGUCCAGUAGACAGAACAAAGGAAGGUGUGGGAGUGUGUCUGGCUUUGAUGACAACUGAGGCCCCUCCACCCCCCAAGGCAGUUUAUAAACUUUGUGAAGACAGGGACAGGGACUCUAAAUACUUCUGUUUUGUUUGUACAUUGUUUGUUUGUGAAGAUGAGGUUAACAUUAAUUAAUAAUUUCCACCUGAUGUUUUCUUAGCAACAGGAAAGAGAAAAGCUCUCAGUAGAUUUAGAACUACAAAGGAACAAUUUAGGAAAACCUCACAGUCUGUGUGUGUGGCCUGGUCACGUGGUAGAGUGGUAGGACUCCCUGGCCUUUCUGACAUUUGAAGGUGCCAUAAUAGCAAUGAUGCCAGACCUGGUUGCUAUGCUGUGUCUUUUGUGAAGAUUCUGAGACUGUUAACUGAGGGCUGCUACUGUUUCACCAUUUGUGAUUACUUGUUUAUGUGUGGGAGAGAAGGAAUUAAUUUUUUAUUUUAUUAUCGUUUGCCAGAAGCUGUGCUGACCCUUCCUUCCUCCCUCCCUCCCUCCUCACAAAAACACAAGGUAGAUAUUACAAAAUUCCCAUAGAAAAAUGGCCUCAGACUAAAGUGCCUGCGCAGGGUUUCAUGGGCAGAAUUUGAAACAAGGUUUUGCUGACUAUGAAGUCUUUCACCUGGGAGGGUCACUGCUAUCAGAGACCACUCCCCCAGGAAAGGAAAGCAAAGGGGGUUAUAUGCUUAAAGAACCAGACUAGAGGAGCCUCUGUCAACACACCUCCUUUAUUAAGUGGAUUUUCAGAGGACUUGAGAGUAAGUUGGUUUGUCUCCCUUUAGGCCUCUGGAUUUCUCAAAUUCAAAUUUAAAGCUCUGCCCUUGGUGGAAUACCACUUCAGAAGUUCACUGCAGUUGAGGGCGUCAGUACAUUGCACAUUGUGGUGCCACCUCACCCCCUACACUGAUCCUCUUGAUUCCCUGUUCCUUUUAGUGUUGCUACUAUCUAAAGACAUACUGGCUUGUCUGCAAGCAUCUCUCUGGGGUUGGGAGGCCUCUGUCUCACGCUUUGGGAUUUGCAUAGCUGGCAUACAUGGCUAGUUUCUGGACUUCUUCAAAUGUUUCCUGAGCCCCUUCAACUUGCCAAGUAUUGACUUGAUGCUGUCCAUAGCAAUAUGAAUUUGGAGAAGGGGAACACACAUGAUCAGUUUGGUGGAUACUAUAGUAACUUGUAAUUUCAUAUUCCAGUUGUUCAUUGCUGGUAUAUAGGAAAGCAGUUAACUUUUGUAUAUUAACCUUGUAUCCUACAACCUUGCUGUAGUUGCUUCUUAGUGAAUAGGUAGUUUUGAAUUCCUCUCUUUGGGAUUCUCUACAUAGACAAGUCAUCUGCAAAUAAAGACAGUCUUAUUUCUUUCUUCCCAAUCUGUACUCUCUUCAUUUCCUUUUCCUGUCUUAAUUAGUCCAGACUUCCAGUAUGAUGUUUAUGGAGUGGUGAGAAGGGACAUCUUUCUCUUGGUCCAGAUCUUUUUUUUUUUCUCUUUCUCUUUUUGGCUGCCCUAUGGCAUAUGGAGUUCCCAGGCCAGGGGUCAGAUCCAGGCCUCAGCUGUGCCAGUGCCACAGCUGCACCAACACCGGAUCCUUAAUCCACUGUGCUCGGGGGAGAUUGAACCCACGUCCCAGCGCUCCCAAGAUGCUGCUGAUCCUCUUGUGCCACAGCGGGAAUUCCUUGGUCCAGAUCUUAAGAGGAUAGUAUCUAGUUUCUCAGUAUUAAGUAGUUCCUGUGACUAUUUUGUAAUGAAAAAAUUGGCCACAAAAACUCUUGGGAAGGCCACUUGAAGCAAACUUGGUGUGGGCAGGGGUUAGGGAUUCAGGGAAAGCUUCUUGAAUGAGGGUGGUUUGCCAGGAUGGGGAGCUGUGUGGAGAGCAGGGUAAUUCAGGCUGGGAAGGCCUAGUAUGUUCAAAGAAAAAUGGUACGUGUCAGAAUGGUACAUGUGUGAGCACACGUCUCUUUUAGAAAGAUGGGGAACCUGGCUAGAAUCCUUAGAAUCCUAUCAUGUGCCCAGUGCCCUGAGGUACCAGGGACACAUUCUGUGUGGAUACCAGACUGUGGCACCCCCAGGCUUCAGUAGAGGUUAAACUUGAUGCAGGUUCCUUUAGCAAGAUGGUUCUCUAGAGUGGGCAGGCUGUACCAAGGUUCAUCUUCAACUAUAUGGCUUGUUUCCUGGGCCAUUGUUCCUGUUCAUGGCACCUCCAAUUGGUACCUGACUUGGAUAUUCUAAAUAGGAUGAAGUAGUAGCUUUAUGGUAUUGAGUGUUGAGGCAAUUGGAGAAAUAGUCACAGAAUAAUUUUAUCUUUUCGCUUUUUGAAAGCAUAUAUUGUUUGUUCUCUGAGUGGCCUCUGGGGUCUGAAAUACCCUGCCCCACCAUUCACUAUCUUUGACUGUUUCCUUUGACUUACUUGCCACUUCACCGUGCAGGGCCCAAACUCCAGGCCUUGCCCACACCAACUCUAUGCAUCCUGGGAAUCUUGAAUGUCACCCAGGCCCUAGAGCCCCAGGCACCAAGGAAAUCCGCAGUUCUGUUCAUUUUGGAUUAGUCCUGGCAUCCAGCCGUCAUUUAUUACCUUCUUCCCUGGGAAUCCAGCAGAGAAGUCCCAAGAACUGGCUUGAUGGACUUUUGGAAUGUGAACCUGUCCUAGGUUGCUGGUUGCCCUGUUAUGUUUGUUUGUUUGUUUUGUUUCUUUGCCACACCCUUGGCAUGUGGAAUUCCCUGGGCCAGGGAUCAAACCCCCCACACAGCAGUGACAACAGUGGAUCCCUAACCCACUGAGCCACUAGAGAACUUUUGUUUUUCCCCUCGUGUUAUGUUAAGAAGACUUGGGGCAGAGGGGAACAGUGGGAAAGAGGGAAAUUCCACACCCAGCAGUUAGCCCUGGAAUUAUAGCCAAGUUUCAGUUCUGUUCGGUGCUGGCGGAAGAAUCAUAUUCUUCUUCUGUCCCCUGGGCUUCUGGACUGGAGAGGAAACAAGUGGGCCUAGGAAAUCUCUGCAUGAGGGUGUUUUCCACCUAGCUAGUGGAGAUCAUUGUGGAGUGCCUGGUGACUCCACAGUGAUGUAUAUGCAGAGUCCAGCAUGUCUUUCUCUUCCACUGUGAACUGCAUGUUUUCAGUUAUAGCUGAAGAAAUGCAGGGGAAGGAGAACAUUAGACUUUGUUGUUUUCAUUUAUGUUUUACUCAAUGCAGAAAUGUUUAGCUUUAGAUUUUGAGAAAAUUGUUGUGAAUUACAUUUAUAAAAACUCAGAUUUCCAAGGUGUCCUGGCAUUGGUGCCCCAGUUCUUGUUGUAUAUAAUGGAUCAUGGUCUUGGCUUGAAUGUUAGACAUAAUCUAGGGAGUUUUUGAAAAUCCUAAUACUUGGCCCUUACCCAGGAUACUUUUCACUGGAAUCUCUGUGGGAAGCGGCCCAGGCAUCAAUUUUUUUUUUUUUUAACGUUUCCCAGAUGCUGCCAACUGUACAGUUAUGUAAACCUUUGUUUGUACCCAAAUUUCACUCUGAGUCAGGUGCUGAAUAUUGAGAAUCUGAAAGCUGCACGGUCUUGUGAGGAGAGACAUAAACUGGGCGAGUCACAGACUCUUCACUGUCUUGGCUGUAUUUGAGCCCUGUUGAAAUUUGGGAUAUGAGACCCUGAUUGACCUAAGUGCUGAAGCUAUUUCUGCUAGCCAUUUGAGAUAGAAAACUUUCUAUUAAAAUUACCAGAAACUUUGCCCUGAGGUAAAAAUGGAUGCACCUUCACCAGUGUUCAUAGUGGUACCACUUAUGAUAGCAAAAAGAUAGAAACAACCCACAUGUCCACUUGAUGAAUGGUUAAACAAAGUGGCGCAUCCAUAUAAAGGAACAUCAUUCACCUUCCAAAAGAAGGACGUUCUGACAUAUGCUACAAGAUGGAUAAACCAUAAAGAUACUACUAAGUAAAAGAAGCCAGACACAAAAGGGCAAAUACUGUGUGAUUCCACCUAUAUGAGAUACCUAAAAUAGUCAAAUUUAUAGAGAUAGAAAAUAAAAUAGUGGUUACCCAGAGCAGGGGGAGGAAGGGGAGUGGGAGUUAGUGUUUAAUAGGGACAGAGUUUCUAUUUGAGAAGAUGAAAAAGUUCUGGAGAUGGAUGAUAGCAAUGGUUGAACAAUAGUGUAAAUACACUUCAUGCCAUUAAACUGUAGACUUUAAAAAUGGUUAAAAUGGGAGUUCUCGUCGUGGCUCAGUAGUUAACGAAUCCGACUAGGAACCAUGAGGUUGUGGGUUCAAUCCCUGGCCUUGCUCAGUGGGUUAAGGAUCUGGUGUUGCUGUGGCUCUGCUGUAGGCCAGCAGCAACAGCUCCGAUUCAACCCCUAGCCUGGGAACCUCCAUAUGCUGCAGGUGCCGCCCUAGAAAAAACCAAAAAAAAAGGGUUAAAAUCGUAAUCAAAGCUACAAUGAGGAGUUUAUGCUGUAGUGCAACAGGACCAGCAGCAUCUCUGGAGCACUGGGUCGCAGGUUUGAUCCCUGGCCCAGCACAGUGGGUUAAGCAUCCAGCAUUGCUGCAACUGCAGUAUAGGUCGGAUCCCUGACCUGGGAACUCCAUAUGCCGCAGGUUGGCCGAAAAAGAAAAG